GCUCGCGUAGCUCAAGGAGAGCACCCGGCACUUAACCGGAAGGCGCGAUGGCGACGGCCAAUUGGUUCGAUACCCGCCGCGAGCACCA
Molecule: transfer RNA, 88 nt
Filed under: Ralstonia edaphi
Lineage: Bacteria; Pseudomonadati; Pseudomonadota; Betaproteobacteria; Burkholderiales; Burkholderiaceae
Description: Ralstonia sp. LMG 6871 tRNA-Lys
Rfam family: tRNA
About the family: Transfer RNA (tRNA) molecules are approximately 80 nucleotides in length.
Source: RNAcentral